Aethalodelphis obliquidens (Pacific white-sided dolphin) is the source of this 2529-nucleotide long non-coding RNA. RefSeq lists it as uncharacterized. Lineage: Eukaryota; Metazoa; Chordata; Mammalia; Artiodactyla; Delphinidae. The transcript is spliced from 3 exons. The record is from RefSeq and is a predicted model, not a curated record.
GGGAGCCUUCCGAGAGGAAGAACGAACCCACAGGAUGGGGGUCAGCGCUUGCGUUAGGACCGUGCUGUUUGUCGGUCCCCUCCACCCCCCCACUGCUCCGCGAGCAAUGGUUGCGCCGAGCCCGAGCUCCAGCCCCAGCUUCGCGCCGGCGGGUGCGUCUGAGGAACUUAUAGCCAACGAGUUGCCUCACGAAGGGCCGCGCCCACCUCUGGGCUUGGGGCUGGGCACCUUCUCCGACUCCUUUCCCGGCCCGGUGCGGCCGUGCAGCGUCCGCAAACAGCCCAGGGCGAAGUCCGCCUUCGGGCAGCUCGAUACCAAAAGCCCAGGAAACGGGCGCAAGCCACGAGAGUCUCUAAACGCGGCGUAGCACGCGAACGCGACCCGUCUUUGCGCUCUAAGGAGGGCAGGGCCGAAGAAAGAGUAAGCUAUUAGUCUCCAUUGCUGCUGGCAUUCAUGCUGUAAACUUGAAGGGAGCUGCCUAAGGAUGAAUAGGUACUGUGGACAGCACAGAGGAGAGAAGGAAAGAAACUGGGUCAUUAUGACAUUAAGCUGAUAGAUGACCAAACACAGAGCCUGUCCAACAACUGGACUCUUAAUUAUGUCUCCAAUUUGUGAUGGGCUUUGGAAGAAGUGUGAGUUCUAGAAAAAGGACUGGGUCAAGGACCUAGGGUAAGACACCUUGGCUUUUAUCUCAGAAUGUCUCAGAGAUAAGCUUUCUUUCUAUUCUUCAGGCUCUAAAAUAAAGUUUUAGGGAUCUUGUUGUUGUUGUUCGAUUAAAGAUACAAGAAGCACAACCAAACCAACCAUAAUCCUAUACUUCAUUUUAUCAGGAUCAUGUAGGAAAAGACCAAAUCUAAUCCUGGAUGUUAAUAUUGCUUCUGUACCUAAAAUACAAAGAUCUGAAGGAGUGGUAUCUGUGAGUUGUAGGAUAUGCAUAUAUUCAGCCAAAGCGAUUAACCCUAUUUACUACCACAAACAGUGGAUUAGAGUUCCUAGUGUUUCAUAUAUUUGCCAACUCUGGUAUUGACUGACUUUUAAAUUUUUACUAGUCUGGUGGCUGCAAAUGCUGUCUCACUGUAGUUUUAUUUUGCAGUGUUGGGGUGGGCUCUCAUGAGCCAGUGACAUCACAGUGUGAUUGUGUUCAGUGACAUCAUGUUGGUCGUUUGAUUCAUCAUAUGAUAUUUACCCCAUGGAAAUCAGCAAACAUUACAAAUCAGGGCUUUCCCCUUUGGAGAGCCAAGUGUUAAAGAUUACCUACCUAUAUACCAUUGUUGAUAAGGUUAAAUAUUUUCUCAUGUAUUUAUGGGCUUUAUCUUGAGUGGCUUGGGCUGUUAUUACAAACUACCAUAGACUUGGUGGCUUAUAAACAACAGAAAUUUGUUUCUUGCAGUUCUAGAGGCUGAAAAGUGCAAGAUCAAGGUGCUGGCACAUUUGCUAUCUGGUCUGGGCCUGCUACCUGGUUCAUAGACCACCGUCUUUUCUCUAUAACCUCACCUACGAAUACCAUCACAUUGGCAAUUAGGUUUCAACAUAUGAAUUUUGGGGGAACAUAAACAUUCAAUCCAUGUCAUAUCUGUUUGUGUCUUUUGCCUAUUUAAAAAUUUUUUGGCUAUCUUUUUUUUUUGAUUCAUUCACAAUUGUUUUUCAUAUCUUAUAAAUACUUUACUCAUUAUUAUCUUCAGUAUAUUUGCUUCACAUUUCUUAUUAUACCUCUGACCUUCCUUCUGGGAUCAUUUUUGUUCUACCUAGACUUCUCUUAAUGGCCAUCUAAUGAUGAUAAAUGCUCUCAAUUUUUAUGUUGACAGUGUCUUUAUUCUGCUUUAGUGCUUUUCUCUUAUUCUUGAAAGAUAGUUUCAUAGAUUAUAGUAUUCUAGGUUGACAAUUUUUUUCUCUCAGCUCAUGGAAAAUACUCCUCUGCUGUUUUCUGGCUUCAUAUCUGCUAGUGAGAAGCUAGCCAUCAGCUGAAUUGCUGAAGUUUUGGAGUGAUCACUCUUUUCUUUCCAGCUGCUUUUAAGAUGAAACUUUUUUCUCUGUAAUUCUGUAUUUUCACCGUAAUGUGUUUAGGUGUGUAUCUUUAUUUAUCAUGUUUGGGAUUCACUGGUAUGCCAAGAUCUGAUGUCUGAAAAGUUCUCAGUUGUUAUGUCUAUUAUCUCUUUCUCAUUCUUUUUAUUACCUCCUUUUUGUACCUGAAGUAGGCAUAUAUUAGACAUUCUCAUCAUGUUCUGUGUCUCUCGAUCUUUAUUUCAUUGUAUAUUCUAUCUCCUUGUCUCUGUGAGCCGUAUUUGGGAUCAAUUACUCAGUUAUAUUCUGGCUCAUUAUUUUUUUCUUUGCUUUUGUUUAAUCUGAUGUUUAAUCCAUCCACUGAAUUUUUAAUUAUGUUUUUAAUUUUUUUAAGUUCUUAUUUUUAUUAAGUUCUUGUUUCAAAUCUUCUUAGUCUUUUUAUAAACUUUUUUAAUGAGGGUUUUUUUAAAAUUAAUUUAUUUUUUGGCUGUGUUGGGUCUUUGUUGCUGCACACAGGCUUUCUCUAGU